This 576-nucleotide ribosomal RNA is filed under the name uncultured eukaryote. RNAcentral's name for it is "SSU rRNA". It matches the Rfam family "Eukaryotic small subunit ribosomal RNA", at positions 174 to 758 of the family's 1831-position model. The record is from RNAcentral.
UAAAAACCCCGACUUCGGAAGGGGUGUAUUUAUUAGAUACAAAACCAAUGCCCUUCGGGGCUCUUUGGUGAUUCAUGAUAACUAUACGAAUCGCACGGCCUUGCGCCGGCGAUGGUUCAUUCAAAUUUCUUCCCUAUCAACUUUCGAUGUUUGGGUAUUGGCCAAACAUGGUUGCAACGGGUAACGGAGGGUUAGGGCUCGACCCCGGAGAAGGAGCCUGAGAAACGGCUACUACAUCCAAGGAAGGCAGCAGGCGCGCAAAUUACCCAAUCCCGACUCGGGGAGGUAGUGACAAUAAAUACUGAUACAGGGCCCUUUCGGGCCUUGUAAUUGGAAUGAGUACAAUUUAAAUCCCUUAACGAGGAACAAUUGGAGGGCAAGUCUGGUGCCAGCAGCCGCGGUAAUUCCAGCUCCAAUAGCGUAUAUUAAAGUUGUUGUGGUUAAAAAGCUCGUAGUUGAACCUUGGGCCUGGCUGGCCGGUCCGCCUCACCGCGUGCACUGGUCCGGCCGGGCCUUUCCCUCUGUGGAACCCCAUACCCUUCAGUGGGCGUGGGGGGGAAACAUGACAUUUACUUU